AUCGAUGAAGAACGCAGCGAAAUGCGAUAAGUAAUGUGAAUUGCAGAAUUCCGUGAAUCAUCGAAUCUUUGAACGCACAUUGCGCCCUCUGGUAUUCCGGGGGGCAUGCCUGUCCGAGCGUCAUUUGCAACCCUCAAGCCCGGCUUGUGUGAUGGGUGCCGUCCCCUACGGGACGCGCCCCGAAGGCAAUGGCGGCGUCGCGGUUAUCCGAUCAGCCAAAGUGUAUGGGGCUUUGUCACUCACUUUACGGCCCGGACCGGCGCCAGUCCGAAUCAAUCUUUUUUCUAAAGUUGACCUCGGAUCAGGUAGGGAUACCCGCUGAACUUAAGCAUAUCAAUAAGCGGAGGAAAAGAAACCAACAGGGAUUGCCUCAGUAACGGCGAGUGAAGCGGCAAGAGCUCAAAUUUGAAAUCUGGUCCUUUCAGGGCCCGAGUUGUAAUUUGCAGAGGAUGCUUUGGGUGCGGCCGCGGCGUAAGUGCCCUGGAACGGGCUGUCGCAGAGGGUGAGAAUCCCGUCUUGAGUCGCCGGUUCGCGCCCGUGUAAAGCUCCUUCGACGAGUCGAGUUGUUUGGGAAUGCAGCUCUAAAUGGGUGGUAAAUUUCAUCUAAAGCUAAAUAUUGGCUGGAGACCGAUAGCGCACAAGUAGAGUGAUCGAAAGGUUAAAAGCACCUUGAAAAGGGAGUUAAAUAGCACGUGAAAUUGUUGAAAGGGAAGCGCUUGCAACCAGACUCGGCCGCAGAGGCUCAACGGGCACGUGUGCCUGUGCACUCCUCUGUGGUCGGGCCAGCAUCAGUUCUGGCGACCGGUCAAAGGCCCCUGGAAUGUGUCGUCCUCCGGGACGUCUUAUAGCCAGGGGUGCAAUGCGGCCAGCCGGGACUGAGGAACGCGCUUCGGCACGGAUGCUGGCAUAAUGGUUGUAAGCGGCCCGUCUUGAAACACGG
Molecule: ribosomal RNA, 940 nt
Filed under: uncultured fungus
Lineage: Eukaryota; Fungi
Description: eukaryotic LSU rRNA
Rfam family: Eukaryotic large subunit ribosomal RNA (bases 292-940)
Source: RNAcentral